AUAAAAUGUUAUUUGUCAAAUGUGCAGAAUACAACAGGUAUUACAGUGAAAUGCUUACUUACAAGCCCUUAACCAACAAAGCAGUUGAAAAUAAGUGUUCAGUAAAAAGAUAAAAAACAAAAGUAACAAAUAAUUAAAGAGCAGCAGUCAAAUAACAGUAACGAGGCUAUAUACAGGGGGUUACAGUACAGAGUCAAUGUGGAGGCUAUAUACAGGGGGUACCAGUACAGAGUCAAUGUGGAGGCUAUAUACAGGGGGUACCAGUACAGAGUCAAUGUGGAGGCUAAAUGUGGAGGAUAUAUACAGGGG
Oncorhynchus tshawytscha (Chinook salmon) is the source of this 309-nucleotide long non-coding RNA. The record is from Ensembl. Lineage: Eukaryota; Metazoa; Chordata; Actinopteri; Salmoniformes; Salmonidae.